ACGCUCUUAGUUCAGUUCGGUAGAACGCGGGUCUCCAAAACCUGAUGUCGUAGGUUCAAAUCCUACAGAGCGUC
RNAcentral lists this transfer RNA (74 nucleotides) under Brachypodium distachyon (stiff brome). RNAcentral describes it as "tRNA-Trp (CCA) (tRNA-Trp-CCA-2-1)". It matches the Rfam family "tRNA". Rfam says of the family: Transfer RNA (tRNA) molecules are approximately 80 nucleotides in length. Their secondary structure includes four short double-helical elements and three loops (D, anti-codon, and T loops). The record is from Rfam by way of RNAcentral. Lineage: Eukaryota; Viridiplantae; Streptophyta; Magnoliopsida; Poales; Poaceae.